AGAGUUUGAUCCUGGCUCAGAGCGAACGUUGGCGGCGUGCCUAACACAUGCAAGUCUUGGGGGAAAGUACCUUCGGGUAUGAGUACACCGGCGCACGGGUGAGUAACGCGUGGAUAACCUACCCUGUAGAUUGGAAUAACGAGCCGAAAGGCUCGCUAAUGCCGAAUAACAUAUGGUCACUUACGGGUGGUCCAUAUCAAAGCUGGGGACCUUCGGGCCUAGCACUUCAGGACGGGUCCGCGUCCAAUUAGCUAGUAGGUGGGGUAAUGGCCUACCUAGGCGACGAUUGGUAGCUGGUCUGAGAGGAUGAUCAGUCACACUGGCACUGGAACACGGGCCAGACUCCUACGGGAGGCAGCAGUGAGGAAUAUUGCGCAAUGGGCGAAAGCCUGACGCAGCGACGCCGCGUGGAGGAUGAAGGUUCUCGGAUCGUAAACUCUUGUCAGAAGGGAAGAACCGUCGGAUUUCAAAUAGGGAUCCGGCCUGACGGUACCUUCAAAGGAAGCACCGGCUAACUCCGUGCCAGCAGCCGCGGUAAUACGGAGGGUGCAAACGUUGCUCGGAAUCACUGGGCGUAAAGGGUGCGUAGUCGGCCCUGUAAGUCAGAUGUGAAAGCCCUCGGCUCAACCGAGGAAUUGCAUUUGAUACUGCAGGGCUUGAGUUCGGUAGAGGGAAGCGGAAUUCCUGGUGUAGCGGUGAAAUGCGUUGAUAUCAGGAGGAACACCGGUGGCGAAGGCGGCUUCCUGGGCCGACACUGACGCUGAGGCACGAAAGCGUUGGGUAGCAAACGGGAUUAGAUACCCCGGUAGUCCACGCCCUAAACGAUGAGUACUAGAUGUCGGGAUCCUUGAGAUUUCGGUGUCGUAGCUAACGCGUUAAGUACUCCGCCUGGGGACUACGGCCGCAAGGCUAAAACUCAAAGGAAUUGACGGGGGCCCGCACAAGCGGUGGAGCAUGUGGUUUAAUUCGACGCAACGCGAAGAACCUUACCUGGGUUUGACAUGUAAGUGAUUGAACCGAAAGGGAAUUGACCUGGGCUUGCCCAGGAGCUUACACAGGCGCUGCACGGCUGUCGUCAGCUCGUGCCGUGAGGUGUUGGGUUAAGUCCCGCAACGAGCGCAACCCCUGCCACUAGUUGCCAGCAUUAAGUUGGGCACUCUAGUGGGACUGCCGGAGAUAAUCCGGAGGAAGGCGGGGACGACGUCAAGUCAUCAUGGCCCUUAAGCCCAGGGCUACACACGUGCUACAAUGGCCGGUACAGAGGGCUGCGAAACCGCGAGGUGGAGCGAAUCCCAGAAAGCCGGUCUCAGUUCGGAUUGUAGUCUGCAACUCGACUACAUGAAGGCGGAAUCGCUAGUAAUCGCAGAUCAGCAAUGCUGCGGUGAAUACGUUCCCGGGCCUUGUACACACCGCCCGUCACACCACGAGAGUCGACUCUUCCGGAAGUGGCUGGCCCAACCUCGUGAGGGAGGUCACCAAGGAGGGGUUGGUGAUUGGGGUGAAGUCGUAACAAGGUAACC
Molecule: ribosomal RNA, 1520 nt
Filed under: uncultured bacterium
Lineage: Bacteria
Description: 16S ribosomal RNA
Rfam family: Bacterial small subunit ribosomal RNA
Source: RNAcentral